AUAUUUCAGUUUUUUGUGAGAUUUGUUUGAUUGUAUUAAAAAUUAUUGUACGGUAAUAAAUAUAAAUAUUUUUAUGUACAAGAACCUUAUUUAUGCAAAAUAUGGUGUAUGGUUUUGUAGUAUUAAUUUGUACAUAGAAAGUAUUUAUAAAAUUAAAUUGUUACGAAAAUCAAGGGGUGUCCCAAUUUUUUAUAAGAAAAGGGGGCGCGGACACGAAAAGGCCUAAUUCUUUUAUUCACCGUGAUGGGCUUAAUAAAAAUUGCUUGGUAUGGGUACGCGCUACCUGCACGGUGCGGCCGGGGUCUGAUUCCGGAAAAAAAGACCCAACUCUUAUCCCAUAAAAAUAUUGUUAAAUUAUACUUUAUCGAAUGGCUACUUCCUCUUCUUCUUCCCCAGUUCCCAGUAGGUGGGCUCGGCCCUUCCCAUCUUCUUUCUCCGUUGGCUCCUAUCUGGCUAUCUCUGCCGUCACCGCCGUGUCUUCUCCGGUCCUCUCACUUCUCGGUCUCUGGCCUUUUAUCUCCGGUCCACCUAGUCUGAGGUCAGAAUGGUGGCUCUCCUCUCUCGUUUUAUCCCCAAUAUCUUCUACUUUGGCAGUUUUUCCCACCUAUUCGUUUUCUAUUCUGUCCUUUAGGGUUUUUAUCCGGUUUUCGUCACCUUAGCGACGCGCUUUUCGGCUCCGUCCGUAACGGAUAGUCCCGGGACAGUUUUAUACCCUGGCCGCUUUAGCUUCCGGGACAUCCGACGAUCGCAUCCCACACCCGUCACCUUGAGCCGGAAUGGUCGGGUUAACCUUAUUCUAUUCGAAACUUCUGACUUUAUGGUUUCACCCGUUCCAGCCCAGAUUUUUAAAUGUGUUUAUCGACUUUAAUAUCCGGUCUGCCGGUGGCGGUAUUGAUCCGACCCGGUGACAGUCUAGUCCACCGCCGACCUGUUCCGUGUUUGUUCCGGUCAAUCUUAGUCCGGUCAGCCACCUCCGCACACUUCGCGCCACUUCUUCGCUGGUUUCCCGGCCCAAACCGUAUGGUCGGUAAGGAUCCCACACCACCGGCUUUGACGCGAUAUCGUCUCCGACUCCAGAACCAGCCGUAAACUCUCACGUCGAACCGUGAUGCCUGCCAAUGAUAUCUAAUUUCCGCGCUUCUCCCCGGGUGGUUCUAACGCCAGUUCUACGGUUAGCCUAAGUAUCCGGUAUCCGAGAUGUAGAAUUUCGAAAGCAAUGUACAACGACAUUGGCGGAGAUAUCCGGACCUUCUUCGGUAUCGAUACGGAUACUCGGUCCUACCCUUCUCUAGAUUUAUAAAUGGCCAUACGCCAUUCGUUUCGGAGAUGAGGGACGGUUUUUUGGCGGUUCUACG
This 1355-nucleotide long non-coding RNA is filed under the name Androctonus crassicauda. The record is from RNAcentral. Lineage: Eukaryota; Metazoa; Arthropoda; Arachnida; Scorpiones; Buthidae.